UGGUGGCAGGCSUAACACAURCAAGUCGAGCGGCAUYGAGUGAGCGCAGUUUACUGAGUUCAKGUYGGCGAGCGGCGGACGGGUGAGUAAAGUCUGGGAAUCUGGCSGAAGGAGGGGGAUAAYUGCUGGAAACGGCAGSUAAUACCGCAUGAAGUCGCGAGACCAAAGUGGGGGACCUUCGGGCCUCACGCCUUCGGAUGAGCCCAGAUGAGAUUAGCUGGUAGGUAAGGUAAAGGCUUACCUAGGCGACGAUCUCUAGCGGGUCUGAGAGGAUAGCCCGCCACACUGGAACUGAGACACGGUCCAGACUCCUACGGGAGGCAGCAGUGGGGAAUAUUGCACAAUGGGCGAAAGCCUGAUGCAGCCAUGCCACGUGUGUGAAGAA
This 385-nucleotide ribosomal RNA is filed under the name Candidatus Williamhamiltonella defendens. Its description in RNAcentral is "Candidatus Hamiltonella defensa partial 16S ribosomal RNA". It matches the Rfam family "Bacterial small subunit ribosomal RNA", at positions 37 to 412 of the family's 1533-position model. The record is from RNAcentral. Lineage: Bacteria; Pseudomonadati; Pseudomonadota; Gammaproteobacteria; Enterobacterales; Enterobacteriaceae.